RNAcentral lists this ribosomal RNA (253 nucleotides) under uncultured bacterium. RNAcentral describes it as "partial 16S ribosomal RNA". It matches the Rfam family "Bacterial small subunit ribosomal RNA", at positions 524 to 776 of the family's 1533-position model. The record is from RNAcentral.
UACAGAGGUGCCGAGCGUUAGGCGGAGUCACUGGGCUUAAAGCGUGUGUAGGCGGAUGCCUAAGUACUUUGUGAAAUCCCCCGGCUUAACCGGGGAACUGCUUGGUAUACUGGGUGUCUUGAGCCACUUAGGGGCGACCGGAACAAACGGUGGAGCGGUGAAAUGCGUAGAUAUCGUUUGGAACGCCAAUGGUGAAAACAGGUCGCUGGGAGUGUGCUGACGCUGAGACACGAAAGCCAGGGGAGCGAACGGG